Molecule: ribosomal RNA, 427 nt
Filed under: uncultured bacterium
Lineage: Bacteria
Description: bacterial SSU rRNA
Rfam family: Bacterial small subunit ribosomal RNA
Source: RNAcentral
UAGGGAAUCUUCGGCAAUGGACGAAAGUCUGACCGAGCAACGCCGCGUGAGUGAAGAAGGUUUUCGGAUCGUAAAACUCUGUUGUUAGAGAAGAACAAGUGGGAGAGUAACUGUUCCCACCUUGACGGUAUCUAACCAGAAAGCCACGGCUAACUACGUGCCAGCAGCCGCGGUAAUACGUAGGUGGCAAGCGUUGUCCGGAUUUAUUGGGCGUAAAGCGAGCGCAGGCGGUUCUUUAAGUCUGAUGUGAAAGCCCCCGGCUCAACCGGGGAGGGUCAUUGGAAACUGGGGAACUUGAGUGCAGAAGAGGAGAGUGGAAUUCCAUGUGUAGCGGUGAAAUGCGUAGAUAUAUGGAGGAACACCAGUGGCGAAGGCGACUCUCUGGUCUGUAACUGACGCUGAGGCUCGAAAGCGUGGGGAGCAAACA